RNAcentral lists this ribosomal RNA (498 nucleotides) under uncultured bacterium. RNAcentral's name for it is "partial 16S ribosomal RNA". It matches the Rfam family "Bacterial small subunit ribosomal RNA", at positions 30 to 523 of the family's 1533-position model. The record is from RNAcentral.
AUUGAACGCUGGCGGCAUGCCUUACACAUGCAAGUCGAACGGUAACAGGUCUUCGGAUGCUGACGAGUGGCGUACGGGUGAGUAAUACAUCGGAACGUGCCUAGUAGUGGGGGAUAACUACUCGAAAGAGUGGCUAAUACCGCAUGAGAUCUACGGAUGAAAGCAGGGGAUCGCAAGACCUUGUGCUACUAGAGCGGACGAUGGCAGAUUAGGUAGUUGGUGGGAUAAAAGCUUACCAAGCCGACGAUCUGUAGCUGGUCUGAGAGGACGAUCAGUCACACUGGGACUGAGACACGGCCCAGACUCCUACGGGAGGCAGCAGUGGGGAAUCUUGGACAAUGGGCGCAAGCCUGAUCCAGCAAUGCCGCGUGCAGGAUGAAGGCCUUCGGGUUGUAAACUGCUUUUGUACGGAACGAAAAGCCCUGGGUUAAUACCCUGGGGUCAUGACGGUACCGUAAGAAUAAGCACCGGCUAACUACGUGCCAGCAGCCGCCGUAA